GGGUUGUGAGGUUAAGCGACUAAGCGUACACGGUGGAUGCCCUGGCAGUCAGAGGCGAUGAAGGACGUGCUAAUCUGCGAUAAGCGUCGGUAAGGUGAUAUGAACCGUUAUAACCGGCGAUUUCCGAAUGGGGAAACCCAGUGUGUUUCGACACACUAUCAUUAACUGAAUCCAUAGGUUAAUGAGGCGAACCGGGGGAACUGAAACAUCUAAGUACCCCGAGGAAAAGAAAUCAACCGAGAUUCCCCCAGUAGCGGCGAGCGAACGGGGAGCAGCCCAGAGCCUGAAUCAGUGUGUGUGUUAGUGGAAGCGUCUGGAAAGGCGCGCGAUACAGGGUGACAGCCCCGUACACAAAAAUGCACAUGCUGUGAGCUCGAUGAGUAGGGCGGGACACGUGGUAUCCUGUCUGAAUAUGGGGGGACCAUCCUCCAAGGCUAAAUACUCCUGACUGACCGAUAGUGAACCAGUACCGUGAGGGAAAGGCGAAAAGAACCCCGGCGAGGGGAGUGAAAAAGAACCUGAAACCGUGUACGUACAAGCAGUGGGAGCACGCUUAGGCGUGUGACUGCGUACCUUUUGUAUAAUGGGUCAGCGACUUAUAUUCUGUAGCAAGGUUAACCGAAUAGGGGAGCCGAAGGGAAACCGAGUCUUAACUGGGCGUUAAGUUGCAGGGUAUAGACCCGAAACCCGGUGAUCUAGCCAUGGGCAGGUUGAAGGUUGGGUAACACUAACUGGAGGACCGAACCGACUAAUGUUGAAAAAUUAGCGGAUGACUUGUGGCUGGGGGUGAAAGGCCAAUCAAACCGGGAGAUAGCUGGUUCUCCCCGAAAGCUAUUUAGGUAGCGCCUCGUGAAUUCAUCUCCGGGGGUAGAGCACUGUUUCGGCAAGGGGGUCAUCCCGACUUACCAACCCGAUGCAAACUACGAAUACCGGAGAAUGUUAUCACGGGAGACACACGGCGGGUGCUAACGUCCGUCGUGAAGAGGGAAACAACCCAGACCGCCAGCUAAGGUCCCAAAGUCAUGGUUAAGUGGGAAACGAUGUGGGAAGGCCCAGACAGCCAGGAUGUUGGCUUAGAAGCAGCCAUCAUUUAAAGAAAGCGUAAUAGCUCACUGGUCGAGUCGGCCUGCGCGGAAGAUGUAACGGGGCUAAACCAUGCACCGAAGCUGCGGCAGCGACGCUUAUGCGUUGUUGGGUAGGGGAGCGUUCUGUAAGCCUGCGAAGGUGUGCUGUGAGGCAUGCUGGAGGUAUCAGAAGUGCGAAUGCUGACAUAAGUAACGAUAAAGCGGGUGAAAAGCCCGCUCGCCGGAAGACCAAGGGUUCCUGUCCAACGUUAAUCGGGGCAGGGUGAGUCGACCCCUAAGGCGAGGCCGAAAGGCGUAGUCGAUGGGAAACAGGUUAAUAUUCCUGUACUUGGUGUUACUGCGAAGGGGGGACGGAGAAGGCUAUGUUGGCCGGGCGACGGUUGUCCCGGUUUAAGCGUGUAGGCUGGUUUUCCAGGCAAAUCCGGAAAAUCAAGGCUGAGGCGUGAUGACGAGGCACUACGGUGCUGAAGCAACAAAUGCCCUGCUUCCAGGAAAAGCCUCUAAGCAUCAGGUAACAUCAAAUCGUACCCCAAACCGACACAGGUGGUCAGGUAGAGAAUACCAAGGCGCUUGAGAGAACUCGGGUGAAGGAACUAGGCAAAAUGGUGCCGUAACUUCGGGAGAAGGCACGCUGAUAUGUAGGUGAAGUCCCUCGCGGAUGGAGCUGAAAUCAGUCGAAGAUACCAGCUGGCUGCAACUGUUUAUUAAAAACACAGCACUGUGCAAACACGAAAGUGGACGUAUACGGUGUGACGCCUGCCCGGUGCCGGAAGGUUAAUUGAUGGGGUUAGCGCAAGCGAAGCUCUUGAUCGAAGCCCCGGUAAACGGCGGCCGUAACUAUAACGGUCCUAAGGUAGCGAAAUUCCUUGUCGGGUAAGUUCCGACCUGCACGAAUGGCGUAAUGAUGGCCAGGCUGUCUCCACCCGAGACUCAGUGAAAUUGAACUCGCUGUGAAGAUGCAGUGUACCCGCGGCAAGACGGAAAGACCCCGUGAACCUUUACUAUAGCUUGACACUGAACAUUGAGCCUUGAUGUGUAGGAUAGGUGGGAGGCUUUGAAGUGUGGACGCCAGUCUGCAUGGAGCCGACCUUGAAAUACCACCCUUUAAUGUUUGAUGUUCUAACGUUGACCCGUAAUCCGGGUUGCGGACAGUGUCUGGUGGGUAGUUUGACUGGGGCGGUCUCCUCCUAAAGAGUAACGGAGGAGCACGAAGGUUGGCUAAUCCUGGUCGGACAUCAGGAGGUUAGUGCAAUGGCAUAAGCCAGCUUGACUGCGAGCGUGACGGCGCGAGCAGGUGCGAAAGCAGGUCAUAGUGAUCCGGUGGUUCUGAAUGGAAGGGCCAUCGCUCAACGGAUAAAAGGUACUCCGGGGAUAACAGGCUGAUACCGCCCAAGAGUUCAUAUCGACGGCGGUGUUUGGCACCUCGAUGUCGGCUCAUCACAUCCUGGGGCUGAAGUAGGUCCCAAGGGUAUGGCUGUUCGCCAUUUAAAGUGGUACGCGAGCUGGGUUUAGAACGUCGUGAGACAGUUCGGUCCCUAUCUGCCGUGGGCGCUGGAGAACUGAGGGGGGCUGCUCCUAGUACGAGAGGACCGGAGUGGACGCAUCACUGGUGUUCGGGUUGUCAUGCCAAUGGCACUGCCCGGUAGCUAAAUGCGGAAGAGAUAAGUGCUGAAAGCAUCUAAGCACGAAACUUGCCCCGAGAUGAGUUCUCCCUGACUCCUUGAGAGUCCUGAAGGAACGUUGAAGACGACGACGUUGAUAGGCCGGGUGUGUAAGCGCAGCGAUGCGUUGAGCUAACCGGUACUAAUGAACCGUGAGGCUUAACCUUACAACGCCGAAG
This 2925-nucleotide ribosomal RNA is filed under the name Escherichia coli E1140. RNAcentral describes it as "bacterial LSU rRNA". It matches the Rfam family "Bacterial large subunit ribosomal RNA". The record is from RNAcentral. Lineage: Bacteria; Pseudomonadati; Pseudomonadota; Gammaproteobacteria; Enterobacterales; Enterobacteriaceae.